CCUACGGGAGGCAGCAGUGAGGAAUAUUGGUCAAUGGACGAGAGUCUGAACCAGCCAAGUAGCGUGAAGGAUGAAUGCCCUAUGGGUUGUAAACUUCUUUUAUAUGGGAAUAAAAUGUUCCACGUGUGGGAUUUUGUAUGUACCAUAUGAAUAAGGAUCGGCUAACUCCGUGCCAGCAGCCGCGGUAAUACGGAGGAUCCGAGCGUUAUCCGGAUUUAUUGGGUUUAAAGGGAGCGUAGGUGGAUUGUUAAGUCAGGUGUGAAAGUUUGCGGCUCAACCGUAAAAUUGCAGUUGAAACUGGCAGUCUUGAGUACAGUAGAGGUGGGCGGAAUUCGUGGUGUAGCGGUGAAAUGCUUAGAUGUCACGAAGAACUCCGAUUGCGAAGGCAGUUCACUGGACUGCAACUGACACUGAGGCUCGAAAGUGUGGGUAUCAAACAGGAUUAGAUACCCGUGUAGUC
RNAcentral lists this ribosomal RNA (460 nucleotides) under uncultured bacterium. RNAcentral's name for it is "partial 16S ribosomal RNA". It matches the Rfam family "Bacterial small subunit ribosomal RNA", at positions 338 to 795 of the family's 1533-position model. The record is from RNAcentral.